Salvelinus sp. IW2-2015 is the source of this 320-nucleotide long non-coding RNA. RefSeq lists it as uncharacterized. The record is from RefSeq and is a predicted model, not a curated record. Lineage: Eukaryota; Metazoa; Chordata; Actinopteri; Salmoniformes; Salmonidae.
GGGACAUGCAUGUUGAUAGAGCGAAAAGCCAGAGCCCCUUCGUUAAAGAAAUGCCUUUUCUCCGCGACAUACCGGGGCGAGAGAGAAAACGAGAGAUUCCCGUUCGUUAAGGGAUAAAGGGCCCGGCUAUAGGUUAGCCCUGACAUCCAUCCGUCUCCAAUUCACCGUCGUCAAGACAGACUUUCUUGCACAAGGCUCCGUAAGUUUUCACUCCAUGGAUAGAUCAAACGUCUUGCAUGUAGACCCUGGGUAUGUCUUAAGGAUAGAAGCGGCCAGCGACGUAAUUGUUCACGAUUUUGGAAAAGACUGUCCAGCUUAUU